RNAcentral lists this ribosomal RNA (2661 nucleotides) under Triticum aestivum (bread wheat). RNAcentral's name for it is "partial small subunit ribosomal RNA". The record is from RNAcentral. Lineage: Eukaryota; Viridiplantae; Streptophyta; Magnoliopsida; Poales; Poaceae.
AUGCCGCCCGCGGCCAUGCCGCCGCCGCCCCCGCCCCCGCAGGGCGCCUCCACAGGGGAUCCGCUGUACGACGAGCUCUGGCACGCCUGCGCCGGCCCGCUCGUCACCGUGCCGCGCGUCGGGGACAUGGUCUACUACUUCCCGCAGGGCCACAUCGAGCAGGUGGAGGCCUCCAUGAACCAGGUCGCCGCCAACCAGAUGCGCCUCUACGAUCUGCCCUCCAAGCUGCUCUGCCGCGUCCUCAACGUCGAGCUCAAGGCGGAGGCGGACACGGACGAGGUCUACGCGCAGGUCAUGCUCAUGCCGGAGCCGGAACAAAGUGAGACGACAACGGAGAAGUCGAGCCCUGCAACAGGAGGCGCCACGCCUGCCAGGCCGGCGGUGAGGUCCUUCUGCAAGACGCUCACCGCGUCCGACACCAGCACACAUGGCGGCUUCUCGGUGCUGCGCCGCCACGCUGAUGAGUGCCUCCCUCCCCUGGAUAUGACGCAGUCUCCUCCCACACAAGAGCUUGUGGCAAAGGAUCUUCAUGGCAUGGAGUGGCGCUUCCGCCACAUUUUCCGUGGGCAACCUAGGAGGCAUCUCCUUCAGAGCGGCUGGAGCGUCUUUGUCAGUUCCAAAAGGCUUGUUGCUGGGGACGCCUUCAUUUUCCUCAGAGGAGAGAGCGGUGAGCUUCGUGUUGGUGUGAGGCGGGCUAUGAGACAGCUUUCCAACAUAGCUUCUUCAGUCAUAUCUAGUCAUAGUAUGCACCUUGGAGUCCUUGCAACUGCAUGGCAUGCUAUCAAUACAAAAACCAUGUUCACUGUCUACUACAAACCCCGGACAAGCCGUUCUGAGUUCAUUAUACCAUAUGAUAAAUAUAUGGAGUCUGUUAAAAACAUUUAUUCUAUUGGGACGAGGUUCAAGAUGAGGUUUGAAGGGGAAGAGGCACCAGAGCAGAGGUUUACUGGGACUAUAGUGGGCAGUGAUAAUCUUGAUCAAUUGUGGCCGGAAUCAAGCUGGAGAUCCCUUAAGGUGCGUUGGGAUGAGUCGUCAACUAUUCCACGGCCGGAUAGAGUCUCUCCUUGGGAAAUAGAGCCUGCUUCAUCACCUCCUGUUAACCCGCUUCCCAUUUCUCGGCCCAAAAGAUCUAGACCAAAUGUUCCUCCAGCUUCUCCUGAAUCGUCUGUUCGUACAAAAGAAGGUGCAACUAAGGCUGAUAUGGAUUGUGCUCAAGCACAACGAAAUCAAAAUAACACUGCCUUGCCAGGUCAAGAACAGAGGAGCAAUAAGCUAACUGACAUUAAUGACUUUGAUGCUAGUGUUCAGAAGCCUAUGAUGUGGUCACCACCACCACCACCCAACAUCGGAAAAAACAACCCACUAACGUUUCAGCAGAGGCCCUCUGUGCAUAAUUCGUUUCAGUUGGGAAGGCGUGAAACUGACUUUAAGGAUGCCAGUUCUGGUGCUCAACCUUUUGGUGAUUCCCUAGGCUUCUUCAUGCAGACAACCUUUGAUGAGGCUCCAAAUCGUCUUAGUUCAUUCAAGAACCAGUUUCAGGACCACAGUUAUGCUCGUCAAUACGCAGAUCCGUACUUAUUUAUGCAUCAGCAACCUUCCUUGACUGUUGAAUCAAGUAGAAAGAUGCACACAGAGAACAAUGAGAUGCAUUUCUGGAAUGGGCCGAGCACUGCGUACAGUAAUUCAAGAGAUCAAGCACAAGACUUCAGAUUUACAGAACACCCAUCAAAUUGGUUAAGUCCGCAGUUCUCCCGGGCAGAACAGCCACGAGUGAUCAGGCCUCACGCAUCAAUAGCUCCUAUUGAGCUGGAGAAAACAACAGAAGGCAGUGAUUUCAAGAUCUUUGGGUUUAAAGUUGAUACUGCCAGUGCUGGUUUUAACCAUUUGAACUCCCCAAUGGCUGGAACGCAUGAGCCUGUGCUACAAACUCAACCAUCUGUAUCAUUAGAUCAUUUGCAAACUGAUUGUUCUCCUGAGGUGUCCUUAAGCAUUGCUGGGACGACUGAGAAUGAGAAAAACAUGCAGCAAUGUCCGCAGAGUUCAAAAGACGUCCAAAGCAAGUCCCAUGGUGCUUCCACAAGGAGUUGCACAAAGGUUCAUAAGCAAGGUGUUGCACUUGGUAGAUCAGUGGAUCUCUCAAAGUUCGUUGACUAUGAUGAACUCACAGCUGAGCUAGACAAGAUGUUUGAAUUUGAUGGUGAACUGUUGUCCUCAAACAAAAAUUGGCAGAUCGUUUAUACUGACAACGAGGGUGACAUGAUGCUCGUGGGAGACGAUCCAUGGGAGGAGUUCUGCAGCAUAGUGCGCAAGAUAUGCAUUUACACCAAGGAGGAGGUCCAGAAGAUGAACUCGAAACCAUCUGGCCCAAAAAAGGAGGAAGGUUCAGUGGAUGGUGACGGCGCAACCGAGAAGGCCCAUCUUCCCGCAUCAAGCGAUUUAAAUUCUAGCCAACUAGGUAUGUGCUUUUUAAAACCACAUGCAAUUGGUCAAGUUCACACUGUUUUCGGUGCAUUCAAUCCCCCCAUUUACCUAAACCGACUAGCCGCAAGCAUGGUUUGCAUGAUAUUGUUGUUUGCUAUCACAAGCAUCACCCGCCGGAAGCGGCUGACCGUUCAGAUGUUGGCCUUGGCGGUCUCUGCAGGUUGUGUCAAGGCCGACUGA